UAGCGCACUCCCUCUGCGCGUGUUUUUAUUCAUCUUGCUUUCGGUUGAACUCGUCGUCUUCAAAUGAAUGGAAUAGUACAAUAGUUCAAUAAUAGGCCUACAGCAGUUCUUUUAACCUGGAAAAGUUGGAAUGUUACUUUCGUGAAGGUCUCAACAGCAACGCAAAGCUGUGGAGGCUACAGGUCUCGUGGGGGAGCCGACCGGUGGUUACGGGGAUGUCGCCGGGCUGAGGAGACGAGAGGAGCAUGCGCGCCGUCCUGGGGCUGCUCUGGGCGGCUAUCCUCCUGGCUCGGAGCCGAGUGAGUGUGUGUCUCCAGGCUCCGUCUGCUCUGCGUAUGGAGGCGAUCAACACGCGAUACACACUCCACUGGGACUGGCCUGACGACACACACACACACCUCACCCCCUGCUACACCGUGCAGUACCUCUUUUCUCACCAGGUGGACUGGGGCCAGAGUGCGCGUGUGUGUGAGGGUGUGUGUGUGCGCGUGUGUGAUCUGAGCGACCACCUGUCUUUCUCGGGGUCCUACCUGCUCCGCGUGGGGGCGGGGCUUAAAGGUCAGAGGUCAAACUGGAGCCACAGCAUCACCUUCACACCUGACG
Engraulis encrasicolus (European anchovy) is the source of this 603-nucleotide long non-coding RNA. RefSeq lists it as uncharacterized. The transcript has 3 exons. The record is from RefSeq and is a predicted model, not a curated record. Lineage: Eukaryota; Metazoa; Chordata; Actinopteri; Clupeiformes; Engraulidae.